GGAGUGGUAGUUCAGCUGGUUAGAAUGCCUGUCCCGAUUACUCGGGAAGGUCUCUGGUUCGAAUCCCGUCCAUUCCG
This 77-nucleotide transfer RNA is filed under the name Mongoliibacter ruber. RNAcentral describes it as "tRNA-Ser". It matches the Rfam family "tRNA". From Rfam's summary of the family: Transfer RNA (tRNA) molecules are approximately 80 nucleotides in length. Their secondary structure includes four short double-helical elements and three loops (D, anti-codon, and T loops). Lineage: Bacteria; Pseudomonadati; Bacteroidota; Cytophagia; Cytophagales; Cyclobacteriaceae. The record is from RNAcentral.